AGUGAACGCUGGCGGUAGGCCUAACACAUGCCAGUCGAACGGCAGCACAGUAAGAGCUUGCUCUUACGGGUGGCGAGUGGCGGACGGGUGAGGAAUACAUCGGAAUCUACUUUUUCGUGGGGGAUAACGUAGGGAAACUUACGCUAAUACCGCAUACGACCUACGGGUGAAAGCAGGGGAUCUUCGGACCUUGCGCGAUUGAAUGAGCCGAUGUCGGAUUAGCUAGUUGGCGGGGUAAAGGCCCACCAAGGCGACGAUCCGUAGCUGGUCUGAGAGGAUGGUAGGCCACACUGGAACUGAGACACGGUCCAGACUCCUACGGGAGGCAGCAGUGGGGAAUAUUGGACAAUGGGCGCAAGCCUGAUCCAGCCAUACCGCGUGGGUGGAGAAGGCCUUCGGGUUGUAAAGCCCUUUUGUUGGGAAAGAAAAGCAGCAGGUUAAUACCCCGCUGUUCUGACGGUACCCAAAGAAUAAGCACCGGCUAACUUCGUG
RNAcentral lists this ribosomal RNA (492 nucleotides) under uncultured bacterium. RNAcentral describes it as "partial 16S ribosomal RNA". It matches the Rfam family "Bacterial small subunit ribosomal RNA", at positions 29 to 507 of the family's 1533-position model. The record is from RNAcentral.